GACAGAGGAGCCAAGCGUUGUCCGGAUUGACUGGGCGUAAAGCGCACGCAGGCGGCCCGGCGCGUGGGGUGUGAAAGCUGGCGGCUUAACUGCCAGACGCCAUCCCAUACGGCUGGGCUCGAGCCCUGCAGAGGUCCAUGGAAUUGCCGGUGUAGUGGUGAAAUGCGUAGAGAUCGGCAGGAACACCCAGGGGGAAACCAGUGGACUGG
This 209-nucleotide ribosomal RNA is filed under the name uncultured bacterium. RNAcentral describes it as "partial 16S ribosomal RNA". It matches the Rfam family "Bacterial small subunit ribosomal RNA", at positions 524 to 732 of the family's 1533-position model. The record is from RNAcentral.